RNAcentral lists this ribosomal RNA (446 nucleotides) under Streptomyces sp. YN-8-5. RNAcentral describes it as "bacterial SSU rRNA". It matches the Rfam family "Bacterial small subunit ribosomal RNA", at positions 55 to 517 of the family's 1533-position model. Lineage: Bacteria; Bacillati; Actinomycetota; Actinomycetes; Kitasatosporales; Streptomycetaceae. The record is from RNAcentral.
AUGCAAGUCGAACGAUGAACCACUUCGGUGGGGAUUAGUGGCGAACGGGUGAGUAACACGUGGGCAAUCUGCCCUGCACUCUGGGACAAGCCCUGGAAACGGGGUCUAAUACCGGAUACUGACCCUCGCAGGCAUCUGCGAGGUUCGAAAGCUCCGGCGGUGCAGGAUGAGCCCGCGGCCUAUCAGCUUGUUGGUGAGGUAAUGGCUCACCAAGGCGACGACGGGUAGCCGGCCUGAGAGGGCGACCGGCCACACUGGGACUGAGACACGGCCCAGACUCCUACGGGAGGCAGCAGUGGGGAAUAUUGCACAAUGGGCGAAAGCCUGAUGCAGCGACGCCGCGUGAGGGAUGACGGCCUUCGGGUUGUAAACCUCUUUCAGCAGGGAAGAAGCGAAAGUGACGGUACCUGCAGAAGAAGCGCCGGCUAACUACGUGCCAGCAGCCG